GCCGGUGUGAUGGAAUUGGUAGACGUGACGGACUCAAAAUCCGUUGGUAGCGAUACCGUGUGGGUUCGAGUCCCACCAUCGGUACCA
This 87-nucleotide transfer RNA is filed under the name Myoviridae sp. ct8mY9. RNAcentral's name for it is "tRNA-Leu". It matches the Rfam family "tRNA". Rfam says of the family: Transfer RNA (tRNA) molecules are approximately 80 nucleotides in length. Their secondary structure includes four short double-helical elements and three loops (D, anti-codon, and T loops). The record is from RNAcentral. Lineage: Duplodnaviria; Heunggongvirae; Uroviricota; Caudoviricetes.